RNAcentral lists this ribosomal RNA (305 nucleotides) under uncultured bacterium. RNAcentral describes it as "bacterial SSU rRNA". It matches the Rfam family "Bacterial small subunit ribosomal RNA", at positions 338 to 659 of the family's 1533-position model. The record is from RNAcentral.
CCUACGGGGGGCAGCAGUCGGGAAUAUUGCGCAAUGGAGGAAACUCUGACGCAGUGACGCCGCGUGUAGGAAGAAGGUUUUCGGAUUGUAAACUGCUUUAGACAGGGAAGAAACAAGACAGUACCUGUAAAAUAAGCUCCGGCUAACUACGUGCCAGCAGCCGCGGUAAUACGUAGGGAGCAAGCGUUAUCCGGAUUUAUUGGGUGUAAAGGGUGCGUAGACGGGAAGUCAAGUUGGUUGUGAAAUCCCUCGGCUUAACUGAGGAACUGCAACCAAAACUAACUUUCUUGAGUGCUGGAGAGGAA